ACUCCUACGGGAGGCAGCAGUGGGGAAUUUUGGACAAUGGGGGCAACCCUGAUCCAGCCAUGCCGCGUGAGUGAAGAAGGCCUUCGGGUUGUAAAGCUCUUUCGGCCGGGAAGAAAUCGUGGUCUCUAACAUAGGCCAUGGAUGACGGUACCGGACUAAGAAGCACCGGCUAACUACGUGCCAGCAGCCGCGGUAAUACGUAGGGUGCGAGCGUUAAUCGGAAUUACUGGGCGUAAAGCGUGCGCAGGCGGUUUUGUAAGACAGAUGUGAAAUCCCCGGGCUUAACCUGGGAACUGCGUUUGUGACUGCAAGGCCAGAGUACGGCAGAGGGGGGUGGAAUUCCUGGUGUAGCAGUGAAAUGCGUAGAUAUCAGGAGGAACACCGAUGGCGAAGGCAGCCCCCUGGGCCUGUACUGACGCUCAUGCACGAAAGCGUGGGGAGCAAACAGGAUUAGAUACCCUGGUAGUC
RNAcentral lists this ribosomal RNA (468 nucleotides) under uncultured bacterium. RNAcentral's name for it is "bacterial SSU rRNA". It matches the Rfam family "Bacterial small subunit ribosomal RNA", at positions 335 to 795 of the family's 1533-position model. The record is from RNAcentral.